AUGCAGUCGAACGGCAGCGCGGGGGCAACCCUGGUGGCGAGUGGCGAACGGGUGAGUAAUAUAUCGGAACGUGUCCUGAAGUGGGGGAUAACGUACCGAAAGGUACGCUAAUACCGCAUAUGACCUGCGGGGGAAAGGAGGGGAUCGCAAGACCUUUCGCUUUUGGAGUGGCCGAUAUCUGAUUAGCUAGUUGGUGAGGUAAAGGCUUACCAAGGCAUCGAUCCGUAGCUGGUCUGAGAGGACGACCAGCCACACUGGAACUGAGACACGGUCCAGACUCCUACGGGAGGCAGCAGUGGGGAAUUUUGGACAAUGGGGGCAACCCUGAUCCAGCCAUGCCGCGUGAGUGAAGAAGGCCUUCGGGUUGUAAAGCUCUUUUGUACGGAAAGAAACGGUUACGGUUAAUACCUUGGACUAAUGACGGUACCUGAAGAAUAAGCACCGGCUAACUACGUGCCAGCAGCCGCGGUAAUACGUAGGGUGCGAGCGUUAAUCGGAAUUACUGGGCGUAAAGCGUGCGCAGGCGGUUNUGUAAGACAGAUGUGAAAUNNCCGGGCUUAACCUGGGAACUGCGUUUGUGACUGCAUGACUAGAGUNNNGGCAGANGGGGGUAGAAUUCCACGUGUAGCAGUGAANUGCGUAGAUAUGUGGAGGAAUACNCGAUGGCGAAGGCAGCCCNCUGGGUCGANACUGACGCUCAUGCACGAAAGCGUGGGGAGCAAACAGGAUUAGAUACCCUGGUAGUCCACGCCCUAAACGAUGUCUACUANUGUNGGGG
RNAcentral lists this ribosomal RNA (778 nucleotides) under uncultured bacterium. Its description in RNAcentral is "bacterial SSU rRNA". It matches the Rfam family "Bacterial small subunit ribosomal RNA", at positions 55 to 827 of the family's 1533-position model. The record is from RNAcentral.